RNAcentral lists this ribosomal RNA (254 nucleotides) under uncultured bacterium. RNAcentral's name for it is "partial 16S ribosomal RNA". It matches the Rfam family "Bacterial small subunit ribosomal RNA", at positions 524 to 776 of the family's 1533-position model. The record is from RNAcentral.
UACGGGGGGGGCAAGCGUUGUUCGGAAUUACUGGGCGUAAAGGGCUCGUAGGCGGCCAACUAAGUCAGACGUGAAAUCCCUCGGCUUAACCGGGGAACUGCGUCUGAUACUGGUUGGCUUGAAUCCGGGAGAGGGAUGUGGAAUUCCAGGUGUAGCGGUGGAAAUGCGUAGAUAUCUGGAGGAACACCGGUGGCGAAGGCGGCAUCCUGGACCGGUAUUGACGCUGAGGAGCGAAAGCCAGGGGAGCAAACGGG